ACGAACGCUGGCGGCGUGCUUAACACCUGCAAGUCGAACGGAAAGGCCCUGCUUUUGUGGGGUGCUCGAGUGGCGAACGGGUGAGUAACACGUGAGUAACCUGCCCUUGACUUUGGGAUAACUUCAGGAAACUGGGGCUAAUACCGGAUAGGAGCUCCUGCUGCAUGGUGGGGGUUGGAAAGUUUCGGCGGUUGGGGAUGGACUCGCGGCUUAUCAGCUUGUUGGUGGGGUAGUGGCUUACCAAGGCUUUGACGGGUAGCCGGCCUGAGAGGGUGACCGGCCACAUUGGGACUGAGGUACGGCCCAGACUCCUACGGGAGGCAGCAGUGGGGAAUAUUGCACAAUGGGCGGAAGCCUGAUGCAGCAACGCCGCGUGCGGGAUGACGGCCUUCGGGUUGUAAACCGCUUUCGCCUGUGACGAAGCGUGAGUGACGGUAAUGGGUAAAGAAGCACCGGCUAACUACGUG
Molecule: ribosomal RNA, 467 nt
Filed under: uncultured bacterium
Lineage: Bacteria
Description: partial 16S ribosomal RNA
Rfam family: Bacterial small subunit ribosomal RNA
Source: RNAcentral